GAUGAACGCUGGCGGCGUGCCUAAUACAUGCAAGUCGAGCGAACAGACGAGGAGCUUGCUCCUCUGACGUUAGCGGCGGACGGGUGAGUAACACGUGGAUAACCUACCUAUAAGACUGGGAUAACUUCGGGAAACCGGAGCUAAUACCGGAUAAUAUAUUGAACCGCAUGGUUCAAUAGUGAAAGACGGUUUUGCUGUCACUUAUAGAUGGAUCCGCGCCGCAUUAGCUAGUUGGUAAGGUAACGGCUUACCAAGGCAACGAUGCGUAGCCGACCUGAGAGGGUGAUCGGCCACACUGAAACUGAGACACGGUCCAGACUCCUACGGGAGGCAGCAGGAGGGAAGCUGCCGCAAUGGGCGAAAGCCUGACGGAGCAACGCCGCGUGAGUGAUGAAGGUCUUCGGAUCGUAAAACUCUGUUAUUAGGGAAGAACAAAUGUGUAAGUAACUAUGCACGUCUUGACGGUACCUAAUCAGAAAGCCACGGCUAACUACGU
RNAcentral lists this ribosomal RNA (496 nucleotides) under uncultured bacterium. Its description in RNAcentral is "partial 16S ribosomal RNA". It matches the Rfam family "Bacterial small subunit ribosomal RNA", at positions 28 to 506 of the family's 1533-position model. The record is from RNAcentral.